Molecule: transfer RNA, 75 nt
Filed under: Clostridium sp. CAG:81
Lineage: Bacteria; Bacillati; Bacillota; Clostridia; Eubacteriales; Clostridiaceae
Description: transfer RNA-Gln(TTG)
Rfam family: tRNA
About the family: Transfer RNA (tRNA) molecules are approximately 80 nucleotides in length. Their secondary structure includes four short double-helical elements and three loops (D, anti-codon, and T loops). Further hydrogen bonds mediate the characteristic L-shaped molecular structure. tRNAs have two regions of fundamental functional importance: the anti-codon, which is responsible for specific mRNA codon recognition, and the 3' end, to which the tRNAs corresponding amino acid is attached (by aminoacyl-tRNA synthetases). tRNAs cope with the degeneracy of the genetic code in two manners: having more than one tRNA (with a specific anti-codon) for a particular amino acid; and 'wobble' base-pairing, i.e. permitting non-standard base-pairing at the 3rd anti-codon position.
Source: RNAcentral
UGGCCCAUCGCCAAGCGGUAAGGCACAGGACUUUGACUCCUGCACUCGAGGGUUCGAAUCCCGCUGGGCCAGCGA